CGCAACUGGCCGACUCGCGUCAAGGGAACAAAUGUAUUUCUGUAAUCACGGAAGUUUUUAUCACGCACAGCUAGAAUGACAUUUAUAUAAGUUGCUGCAACUUUAUAAAGGAUCAUAAUUUAUAAGAUAACCCACUUGAGCGCAGUUACUCAUGAAAGAGCAACAUAUAUUUGUUCACCACUAAAUAUAGAACUUCCAGAAGUCGCUCAACGUUCGAAAACCGCUCUCAGCUGUUCGGAGUGUCUUUAUAGACAACAUUUAUUUAUUUAUUUAUCUAUCUAAUUAUUAUGUUUGACUGUUAAAAAGAUGCUUCAGUGGUUUUAUUCAAAAUAAUAACGAGAGUUUUAAUGCUCUUGUUUGGAAAUAUGCUCCAAAAAAUACUUCAGGCAAAGCUAAAAUCGCUGAAAUGCAUAUGAUGGGGUCUUAUUUAGCUGUAAUCCAGUUUAACGAAGGGUACACUGGAUUAUUGGAAGUAUUGGAAGUUCUAAAGAUAAAAUUUGGACAACAAGUAACCGAAUACCGCGACAAGCAGAAUGCGCUCCGUAUUUCCGCUGCUGAGCGAAAACCAAAAGCAACGACGCGUGACACUAGAUUUCAACAGAGGCAUACUUUAAAUGAACAGAAAGAGGAGGAUGCUGAACAUAUAAUUUGGGAGACUUAUUUUAUGGUCCUGGAGUAGAUGCGCUAUGAACUUCUGUUGGUCCGCUACGCAUGCGCCCGUUUGACAUAAUUUUUUUUAGGCGACUCUGUGAUUAUUGUAGCUAUAAAUGUUAUCUAAUAUUUUUUCACGAAAAUUUCACAAAAAGUAGUUCAAAUUAUGUACUUUGUGAUGUUAGUAAAGUAAUUUAGAAAAAAUUAUUUGUCAAAAAAAAUUUUUUUUUAAAUAGUCUUUUCUAAAGCUGUUACACUGAUUUUCCUCCUUAACGAUUAUAACAUAUCGAAAAUCGUUUUCUCACAACAAAUGCUCUAUCCAUUACUUAAAACUUAACACUUAAACCAUUCUAUCGUAUGUUCAAUUCCCGAUGACAGUAUUUUUAACAUCUGUAAAUAAUUAAUUCGUUAUUAUUAAAAAAUGCAUAGCAUUUUGUGCAGUUAUUAUUGUAUAUAUUUCUAUAAUGUAUCUUAAUUACAGUAGACAUUUAUAUAAUGCUGAUGCAAACUUUUGACUGCAAUCAAUCUGUUUAAGCUUGAUAAAGUUAAUCCUUAGAUCUCGAAGAAAUAAAUAAUAAUGCUAAUCCAAGCUGUCGAUUUGCAAUCAGUCCGUUGAUACAAUUAAUCUUGAGAUCUUGAGAUCUUGCUUUACCAAAAGUAUUUAAAAAAUUAAUUUUAGUUUGUACUAAAAAUUAGAAUUUCUACUCGGCGUUAUAUUAUUAUAACUUAUUAACUUGAUAGUAAAAAUAAGCAUAUUCAAUGUUAUAAUGUAGAAGAUGGGAUAGAGAGAAAAAAGAAAGAGGGAGAUAAAAAGAAAAGGAGAGGGAUUAUAAU
Long non-coding RNA from Temnothorax curvispinosus, 1485 nucleotides. RefSeq lists it as uncharacterized. The record is from RefSeq and is a predicted model, not a curated record. The transcript has 3 exons. Lineage: Eukaryota; Metazoa; Arthropoda; Insecta; Hymenoptera; Formicidae.